Molecule: transfer RNA, 72 nt
Filed under: Apaloderma vittatum (bar-tailed trogon)
Lineage: Eukaryota; Metazoa; Chordata; Aves; Trogoniformes; Trogonidae
Rfam family: tRNA
About the family: Transfer RNA (tRNA) molecules are approximately 80 nucleotides in length. Their secondary structure includes four short double-helical elements and three loops (D, anti-codon, and T loops).
Source: Rfam by way of RNAcentral
GGCUGGUUAGCUCAGUCAGUAGAGCUUGGCGCUAACAAUGCUAAGGUCGCGGGUUCGAUUCCCGUUCGGUCC